This 4563-nucleotide long non-coding RNA is filed under the name Phaseolus vulgaris (common bean). Its description in RNAcentral is "long non-coding RNA (PVUL_LNC001900)". Lineage: Eukaryota; Viridiplantae; Streptophyta; Magnoliopsida; Fabales; Fabaceae. The record is from RNAcentral.
AAACACGUAAUCCCUCACUCCCACUGCAUACUCACGCUCUCCUAACCCUUAAUCCUCUUUCUACCUCUGGUCCACCACGAAGCUGCUUCUGGCUUUCCUCCACCGGGAAACCACUUCUCUACAAACCGCGUUUCGUUCACGCAAGAUGUGUUCUGCGAUUUGUUGGAUUUCAAGGUACAAAAGGUGACUACCACUUCUGCAAUACACGUUUCAAGGUGAUUUUUGUUGGAUGAAUUGGCGUUUCCGUUUCCGUGCUGUGUUUUUUACUGGAUCCACGAACUGAUUUUUUACAGGAUGAAAUUCAUUUCUCGGUUCAGUUAGAGGUUCAAAACGUCAACUGAUUUUCUACGGUGUUUUAAUCAUCUGCAACUUGCUUAUGGUUCUGAAAUUUUGCAAGAGUGCAACGCUAUUCCCAGCUAAGUUCUGAAAUCACGUCUACUGAUUUUACUGCUUUGAGAACGAAAUCAGUAUUAAAGUUUUAUAGCAGUUCAGGGAGAUGAUCAAGGAUUACUUCUGUUCCAAUUCCUGUAAGUUGCUUCUUACUCAUCAUCUUAACUCUAGGUAAUUUAUUGUUUGUUACGGUAUUUUAGGAAUUCCUUUUUAACUUUAGUCUGAAUUAAAUAUAGAUUUUUAAACCAUAUAUCAAUCUAGGUUUAAAAAACAGUGAGAAGUGGACUAAUUAGUAUUUCUUUAGUACUUGAAGUGCAGAGUAUAGUAAACACGAUGCAAGAAAAAAGAAAACAGAGAAGAAAAGAAGGACGAGGGAGAUAAAAAGAGAACGAAGAGGUGUGUUUUACGUUUUGAUGUAUCUGAUAACUCUUUUUGCAGCUUUCAUAUGUGUUUCGUUUGGACAGUGCAUGAACCUUGAAAGAAUACUCACAACAUUUAGGAUGUCAGGUCUGGUUGUUGUUAAGUACAUCAGACAACCUAUCAAACUUCUAAACUUAGAUUCAUUAACCUUGUCAGAACCAUCAUCUUUGAUUAGCUUCUCCUUUUGAUUCAUGGGAGUGUUCACAGUUUUGCAAUCUUCCAUCAGAAAUUUCUUGAGUAUUUCCUUUGCAUGUUUUCUUUGACUUAAGAAAACUUCAUCCUGAUUCUGUUUGAUCUCAAUGCCAAGAAAGUAUGACAUAAGACCAAGAUCUGUCAUUUCAAAGACCUUUUUCAUUUCCAGUUUGAACUGGUUGAUUUCUUCAACAUUGCUUCCUGUAACUAACAUGACAUCCACAUAAAGAGAAAUUACCAAAAUAUUUGUACCUUGAUGUUUGACAUACAAUGUGAGUUCAGAUUGGCUUUUAUGAAAGCCAAGGUGCACCAGAUGAUCAUCAACCUUGUUGUACCAGGCUCGUGGAGCUAGCUUUAAUCCAUAUAAAUCCUUUUUCAAAAAGUAGACUUUAUUUUCAUUGCCCUCAUUCACAAAGCCUUCAGGUUGUUCAACAAAAAUUUCUUCUUGCAAAUCUCCAUUUAAGAAUGCAGAUUUAACAUCCAAAUGGUAUACUUUCCAGCUCCUUUGAGCAGCAAGAGCAAGCAAUAAUAUUACAGUGUCAAGCCUGGCAACAGGUGCAAAUGUCUUUGAAUAAUCAACACCAAAAACUUGUGCAUAUCCUUUCACAACAAGUCUUGCUUUGAAUUUGUUGAUAGAACCAUCAGGACUUAGCUUGGUUCUGAAAACCCAUCUUACUCCAAUUAUUUUUCUGUUUAGUCGACCAACCAACUCCCAGGUUUUAUUUUUCUCAAUCAUAGAAAGCUCCUCCUACAUUGCAGCCAUCCAGUGUUGACUGUUUUUUGCAUCGUGAAAUCCUGCAGGCUCACAAACAGCUACAUUGCACCUUUGACAGAUGUCAGACAAUAGUCUUGUUCCUCUGACAGGUGCAUCAUCAACUGUAGCAUCAUCUUCAGAUUCUUCAGUCAUGCUCCCAAGGGUUGAACUGUUUGGAGCAUUUGGACUUUGAUUCACCUUAGUUGAACUUUCCCAAUCCCAUUGUUCAUUUUCAACAAAAUGAACAUCUCUGCUUACAAUCACACGACCAAUUUGUGGCUGAAAAAUUUUGUAAGCUUUGGAUACAGUGCUAUAUCCAACAAAGAUGCUUGCUUAUGCUUUUUUAUCAAGCUUAUCACGCUUGACCUGUGGAAUAUAAGUGAAGCAAAGACAACCAAAUAUUUUGAGAAAUUUUAAAGAAGGUUUGUAGCCAUACCAAGCUUCAUAUGGUGUCAGAUCUUUCAAGGCUUUUGUAGAAAUUCGAUUUUGUAGGAAUACAACAGUGUUUGUUGCCUCCCCCCAUAACCCUUUUGGAAGAUUCUUUUCAUGGAGCAUACACCUUGUCAUCUCCAUAAUGAAUCUGUUCUUCCUUUCACUGACACCAUUCUGUCGAGGAGUAUAUGGUGUUGUUAAUUGAUGUUGAAUUCCAGCUUCUUCACAAAAUUUGUUGAAAGCAUCAGAGGUGUAUUCCUUGCCAUUGUCAGACCUUAUAAUCUGAAUUGAGCAUCCACUUUCAUUUUCAACUCUGGUUUUGAAUUUCCAGAAUAUACUGGGAACCUCUAACUUUUGUUUCAACAUGAAAAUCCAACACAUUCUUGUUAGAUCAUCAAUAAAAAUUAUGUAGUAGAGGUUACCAUUUAAUGAAGGUGUUCUCUGAGGACCACACAAAUCAGUGUGCACCAGUUGCAGCUUUUUCGAGGCUCUCCAAGCUUGUUUAGGGAAAGGUUGUCUGUGUUGCUUCCCAAAAUUGCAGGCAUGACAAGGAGGAAUAUUAUCAUCAAUGUCUGCGAGUCCUUCAACUAGCUUCUUUGAUUGCAUCUGAAACAAUCCUUGAUGAUGAAAGUGCCCAAGUCUUUUGUGCCAAAUCUCAGUGGCACUAGCUCUGGACUUGAAGGCCAUUUGUUCUUUCUCCAUUGGAUUUAAAGCAAAGCUUUUUCCUUUCAUUUUGACAUUGAACAAGUCUUUGCCACUAGCAUCUCUAAUCAAGCACUGUUUAUUCUCAAACAACACUUUAUAGCCUUUAUCGAGUAGGUGGCCAACACUUAAGAGAUUUUGAUCAAUUUUAGGUACAAAUAAAACAUCUGAAACAAAUUUUGUACCUUCAUAGCUUGCUAUAGCUACUGUGCCUUUUUCCCUUGACUUCCAAGAGUUCACCAUUUCCAAUUCUCACUCUCUUAACUUCAGUGUUUUUUAAUUCUUCGAAAAGCUCCUUGUCAUAUGUCAUAUGAUUUGUGCACCCACUGUCAAUCAACCAGCUCUCACUUGAUUCUCUACUUGAGAAACAAGUGACCACGAACAAUUGAUCUUCUUCUUGACCAACAACUUGUGCAUCUACUUCUUGCACCUGACCUUUGACUUUGCAGAUCACAGCUUCAUGUCCAAGUUGAUUGCAUUUGGAGCAUUUUGCAUCGGGUCUUCUCCAACACUUGUAUGGUGGAUGACCUUUCUUCUCACAGUGGCGGCAAGGUGGGUAGGAUUUUUUGGAACCUUCUUCCUUUUUUAAGUUUUUCUUCUUUUUGUACCUGUUGUUGUCUUGAUGCUUGACAGGUAAAGCUCCUUCAAUCACCCCUUCUUGCCUCAUAGACCUUCUUUGCUCUUGUGCUUGUAAAGCAUUCAAGAGCUCUGUAAGAGAGAUUUUUGACAGGUCUUAGGUGUUCUCCAGAGUAGUAAUGGUGGCUUCAAACUUCCCGGGAACAGUGACCUGCAGCUUUUCAACAAUCCUAGAGUCAAUACACACAGAACCAAGUAAUCUCACCUUAUUGGCAAUGCUGAGAAGUCUGUCAGAGUACUCCUUCAUUGACUCAAACUCCUUCCUCUUCUGCAACUCGAAAUCCUGAAUCAAAUUCAGGACUUUCAUUCCACGAAUCCUCUCAUCUCCUGCAAAUUCACCCUUGAGGUAAUCCCAAAUUUCCUUUGUUGUUUUGAGGGACAUUAUUCGUGUGAAGAUCAUUUGAGAUAUAACUGCAAAUAGGCAAGCUUUUUCCUUUGAUUUUAUGGUUUUUUUCUCCUUCUAUGCUUUGAUUUGUGCAACAGUAGGAUUUGCUGGAAGUGGAGGGACUUCGUAAUCUUCUUCUACUGCUUCCCAAAGAUCCAAAGCCUUCAGAUAAGUCUCCAUACGAAUUGCCCACAUUUGAUAAUUGUCUCCAUCAAAGACUGGUGGUGCAACAGCUGAAAAACUUGAUUCUCCUUCCAUUUUGACCUCACAGAUCCCUUAAGAAGAGUGCUUUGAUACCAAUUUGUUAGUUUCAAAACAAAUAAUAUUUGAUUGAUCAAUUGAGAUGAUAUAUUAAAGUUGGAAAGUUGUGCAUUUGUACACAGAAUGAAUAAAGAUUGUUCUAAAAAACAGAAAAUAAAUAUGGUAACAAACCAAUAGUUAAAACAGAAUUAAUUAAUUUUCUAAAAAUCUGGAGACUUAUUCAAUAACAAAAAAAAGCUAACUUGUAGGAUGUUAAACACAUGAUCCUAACAAACAUUCUUAAAUAUCAACUUUUUUUUAAAAGAACUAUAGAAAAGGUUUCAUAAAACCAAUAAAAGAAGAAAGAGUUUGGUUACUGACUUACCACGUCAAAAACAGCCUUAAGUUAACU